Molecule: ribosomal RNA, 453 nt
Filed under: Praebebalia longidactyla
Lineage: Eukaryota; Metazoa; Arthropoda; Malacostraca; Decapoda; Leucosiidae
Description: partial 16S ribosomal RNA
Rfam family: Bacterial large subunit ribosomal RNA (bases 302-453)
Source: RNAcentral
GGUAGCAUAAUCAUUAGUUUUUUAAUUAAAAACUUGUAUGAAUGGUUUGACAAAAUAAAUAUUGUCUCUUCUAUAAAAUGAGAAUUUAACUUUUAGGUGAAAAGGCUUAAAUAUAAUAAAAAGACGAUAAGACCCUAGAAAGCUUAUAUAUUUUUUUCUUUAUUUAAAAAAUUUUUUAUAAUAGAUGAUUUAAGAAAUUUUAUUUAGUUGGGGCGACGAGUAAAUAAAUUAUGUAACUUUAUAAAUUUAUAACAUAAAAUUUAUGGAUCUUUAUUCAAACUUUUAGUAAAGUUACUUUAGGGAUAACAGCGUUAUUUUUUUUUAAAGUUCAUAUUAAGGAAAAAGAUUGCGACCUCGAUGUUGAAUUAAAAUUUCUUUUUGGAGCAGCAGCUAAAAAAGAAGGUCUGUUCGACCUUUAAAAUUUUACAUGAUUUGAGUUCAAACCGGCGAGAG